UUUUCUGUAUUGUGAAUUGUGUUUCGGCUUUCAAAAUUGCCCCACUUCUUUCUUCCAAUUACAAUUUGCUCUCUCUAGGUAUCUUAUAGCUGGGUCGGUGGUGUGCUGUGCUGGACAGACGUUCAACACGUGUUUGUUUCUGGAAAUUUCCACAGCCUCCCCGAUGAAAUCCCUUUCUAUUCUCUUUCCCCAUCCCACUAUUCUUUCUAAUCGCGUAUGUAUUUUGUGUUCAUUGAAGAGGCUUUCGCAGGGGUGGCUUGGGUGGAGGCGACAUCAAGGUUUUUUGAAUGAGAUACCAACCCUGUCAUGUUCCGCCAUGUUGAUGGCAUCGACUUCUGGAAACUCGCUUCAUGUUCCUGCUGCUUCCCCUAAUUGCACCCUAUAGAUCCUCCAAUUUCUUUCGACGACAACAACUCAGUCCGUCCAACUCAUUCGGCAUAUGAGUUCGAGUCAGGUGGGGAAGCAACGCAUCAGGUUACAUCGGUUGUGCCCCCAAAGAUUUCAUGAAGACUAUCAUUGAUGAAAUGAAUCUUUAGCAUCUGAAACUAUCCUUCCAUACGAUACUUUGAACUACAGAACCAAGGAUUAUUAGACGGAGCUAAAACCAUCAUGGUCCGCUUUUUAGGUCAGAUCAUGUAUGCUAACAUCAUUUACGUUUUUUUACUCUUUUAUUUCCCUCUUUUGGUGCCUAAUGUUGAAGAUGAUGAUCAUUUCUUAUCGUGUUCUUCGGAUGAGCGUCAUGAAUGAAGCCUUGGUUGUGCCCUUCAAAAAAUCAGGCCUAAUCAAUUUUUCCUUGUCAAAUCGACAAAUACAUAUCGAUUGAGAGGCGGAUAUUGACAGUAGAAGACGGGAAAGAGGAUGAAAGCACCGGUUCCACCUUGAGCACAACAAUUUUUUUUUUUUUUUUUUAAUUUCGAACCCAAGCAAGAUUCCUACUGCUUACUGAGCUUUUUUUUACAUUUUUUAUUGGUAGGGACCGGUACGUCAAUCAGAUUUUGAAAAAGGUCAGAUCCAUAGAAGUGUCUGCUGGUGUUUUAGGUUAAUAUAGGCAAGGGUAAGGGGAAAAACAGUGAAGAAUGACUUUGCUAGGAGUUAGGACCUUUCAUCCAAUACAUGUAAGGUAUUUCAAGUGGGUGUCCAUCUCUCUAGCCCGCAGGAGUCCCGGGAAGAUAGAGGCAAGACAAACCGCAUAAGUAAAUAUAUAACCUACAGAAGAACGAGCCGAGCCGUGCAAGGACGCGGUUUAGUAUUUGUUUUUUGAUUAGAUUUAAACUCUGUUUUCUCUUUUGUAGGAAGUUGGAUGUAUGCAUUCAUUUGAUUUUUUCUGUUGCAGAAACACAGAGGUGAAUUUCAAAGUAUUGAAGGUUUGUUGAGAUUGAAGAGAAGGUAGCUCAAAUGGAAGAAGUAUUGCUUUUUAAUUUCCAUUUCUUAUUAUGGUGGACAAUAGUGUAAAAAUAUUGCGCCCGGGUGGCGCACACACCUCACAGCUGCUGGCAAAAAUAAAAGCAGAUGAUGGGAAAUUACACAGAAUAGCAACAUACUUUAACUUGGAUACCAAUUUAUGCAAUGUACUUCUUUAUUCGUCUCAGAAAACAAACACAUUCUGCCCCGCGCAACGCGCGGGUAACCCCUCUAGUUGGAACUUUAAUUCUUUCUUGUUUUAUAAUUAAUGACUAAAUAAAAGCAAAAUUAUUAACUUUUAAUAAUAA
This is a non-coding RNA of Lactuca sativa (garden lettuce), 1709 nucleotides long. The record is from RefSeq and is a predicted model, not a curated record. Lineage: Eukaryota; Viridiplantae; Streptophyta; Magnoliopsida; Asterales; Asteraceae.